RNAcentral lists this microRNA precursor (102 nucleotides) under Marmota monax (woodchuck). The record is from RNAcentral. Lineage: Eukaryota; Metazoa; Chordata; Mammalia; Rodentia; Sciuridae.
AGUGGGAUAACUGGGUCAAAUGGUGGUUCCAUUCCAGUUUUUUGAGGAAUUUCCAUACUGCUUUCCAGAGUGUUUGCACCAAUUUGCAGUCCCACCAGUAAU